This 510-nucleotide ribosomal RNA is filed under the name uncultured bacterium. Its description in RNAcentral is "bacterial SSU rRNA". It matches the Rfam family "Bacterial small subunit ribosomal RNA", at positions 791 to 1306 of the family's 1533-position model. The record is from RNAcentral.
UAGUCCACGCUGUAAACGAUGGUUACUAGCUGUUCGGAUUUCGAUCUGAGUGGUUAAGCGAAAGUGAUAAGUAACCCACCUGGGGAGUACGUUCGCAAGAAUGAAACUCAAAGGAAUUGACGGGGGCCCGCACAAGCGGUGGAGCAUGUGGUUUAAUUUGAUGAUACGCGAGGAACCUUACCAGGGCUUAAAUGUAGAUUGACAGGUUUAGAGAUAUACUUUUCUUCGGACAAUUUACAAGGUGCUGCAUGGUUGUCGUCAGCUCGUGCCGUGAGGUGUCAGGUUAAGUCCUAUAACGAGCGCAACCCCUGUUGUUAGUUGCCAGUGAGUAAUGUCGGGAACUCUAGCAAGACUGCCGGUGCAAACCGUGAGGAAGGUGGGGAUGACGUCAAAUCAUCACGGCCCUUACGUCCUGGGGCUACACACGUGCUACAAUGGUAGGUACAGAGAGCCGCCACUGGGCGACCAGGCGCGAAUCUAUAAAUCCUAUCACAGUUCGGAUCGGAGUCU